This 63-nucleotide transfer RNA is filed under the name Enterobius vermicularis (human pinworm). It matches the Rfam family "tRNA", at positions 5 to 66 of the family's 71-position model. From Rfam's summary of the family: Transfer RNA (tRNA) molecules are approximately 80 nucleotides in length. Their secondary structure includes four short double-helical elements and three loops (D, anti-codon, and T loops). Lineage: Eukaryota; Metazoa; Nematoda; Chromadorea; Rhabditida; Oxyuridae. The record is from Rfam by way of RNAcentral.
CAUUGGCUCAGGGGCAUAGCGUCUUUCUAGUAAACAGAAGGUCGCUGGUUCGAUUCCAGCAUG